Populus nigra (black poplar) is the source of this 1987-nucleotide RNA transcript. It is a transcript of the gene named thioredoxin-like fold domain-containing protein MRL7L, chloroplastic, with no coding region annotated. The record is from RefSeq and is a predicted model, not a curated record. The transcript has 9 exons. NCBI's taxonomy places the organism in Eukaryota, Viridiplantae, Streptophyta, Magnoliopsida, Malpighiales, Salicaceae.
AUAAUAAAUCCUUGACAAGAUAAAACAGCAGUUAGGCUUAUCCUUCCCUUCUCCGUGAGUCUCUCGCUCUCUCUCCAGUGGAAGUAAGAAAGAGCCUCUGCUGCUCCUGCUCUAACUCUCGAGGUUUUACUUUAUCUAUAAGAACAAGAAGGAGGAGGAUAAAAAGGCACAGCAAGAAGAAUAACCAGUGAAUAAGGAAUGGCAGUACAGCUCCACCAUUUGCUUUCACCCAUUAGAGAAUUCAAAGACUUUCCUUCAUUUCCUUUUAUCACUGCUCAUUCCGAAUCCAAACCAACCACCUACACUGAGGUUUCUUCCACUUAUUCUUGUCUCUCAUCCAAGUUUUUAAAGUACCCUUCUCAGCUACAUGGUGGUGGUUUUCAAAGUAGUAUUAGUAGAGCUUCCCGAAGAGAUGAAAGAGUCUUGUCUGAUGAUGGGAAGAAAAAACGACGAGAAGAAUUUAGUGACAGCGAUGAUGAUGAUGAUGAUUACUCGUCGAGAAAAGGUAAGGUGAAUGACCCCUAUCUUAUGGAUGCUGAAGAGAGACGGGAGUGGAGAAUGAAAAUUAGAGAAGUGAUGAAAAAGUAUCCUGAUGUGGAUGAGGAUGAGGAGCUUGAUUCUGAAGAAAAGAGGAUGAGAAUGGAAAAGCUUUUGGCUGAUUACCCCCUUAUUGUGGAUGAGGAUGAUCCUGAUUGGCCUGAAGAUGCUGAUGGGCGGGGCUUCGGUUUGGAUCAAUUCUUCAACAAGAUUACUAUCAAGAAUAAGAAGAAGGAUGAUGAUGAUGAGAAUUAUGAUAGUGAUAAAGAGAUUGUGUGGCAAGAUGAUGAUUACAUCCGUCCAAUAAAAGACAUUACCACUGCAGGAUGGGAGGAGGCUGUAUUCAAAGACAUUAGUCCUUUGAUUGUCUUAGUACAUAAUCGCUAUAAAAGACCAAAGGAAAAUGAAAAAAUUCGAGAUGCACUGGAGAAGGCUGUGCACAUCAUUUGGAAUUGCAGACUACCUUCACCAAGAUGUGUUGCGAUUGAUGCUGUUGUUGAGACUGAUUUGGUCUCUGCUCUAAAAGUUUCUGUCUUCCCAGAAAUUAUUUUUACUAAAGCAGGAAAGAUCUUGCACCGUGAGAAAGCCAUUCGAACUGCAGAUGAAUUUUCAAAAAUAAUGGCAUUCUUCUAUUAUGGAGCUGGCAAGCCACCUUGUUUGAAUGACAUUGGAGAUAGCCAGGAAUUGAUCCCAUCUGUUCAUGACAUCACUCGUUGUGAACACCACAAGAGCAGAAGGCUUUGUGAUAGUGGAAGCGAAAGGCAAAGAGCUGACUGCAAGGCUCCUGCAAUAAGGGUGUCAUCAAAUGCUGUCAUAUGGGGGUAGGCUUCACUUGCGGGACAUUUAUUUGUGUCUCUCUUUGAACACUGGCGGCAAAGGUUAUCACUCUUCAAUCCAUCUACACGAGAACGAGUCAAAGCCAGGACGAGCAGGAAGACAGAUAAGCAGCAUCUAUCCAUGUAUACAAUCUUCGCAAUUGCCUGUCAUCUAGUGAACAUUGAAAGUCAUAUUAGAUGACCAUCAACGAAAACAUUCAUGAUAUUGCAAUAUGCAUAUGCAGUUCUCAGAACUAUACUUGGAGGGCCGCUGCAGCUGCAAUGGAUUCAGUGCUGAAAAACUUUAAAGAAGGAGAGCAAGGUGUCAGCUGUACCCUUUUCUUUAAUUUCUAGUUUUAGAUUCCUUUUGUUUUCUGUGUAAUUUUCCAAGCCUUGAUGCGUGGAUCAUUGUCACAUCACACCCAAUCAAAGGAGAUGAGCUUAAACAUCACCAUAACAAAGGUUUUUUAUCUAGAUUUUUUUGUUUUUCAUUAGUUGGGAUAACAUUGUACUGGCAUUUGAGCUGUGUUGCAAAGGCGUACGCUUCCUUUCGUACCCUGAUGGGACCCUGUCUCGGGAUUUUGUUUCUCAAGUAAUAAGAUUUGAAGAAGGAUACAUUGUUUCAUGCAAGAAAA